This 248-nucleotide ribosomal RNA is filed under the name uncultured crenarchaeote. RNAcentral's name for it is "partial 16S ribosomal RNA". It matches the Rfam family "Archaeal small subunit ribosomal RNA", at positions 478 to 726 of the family's 1478-position model. The record is from RNAcentral. Lineage: Archaea; Thermoproteati; Thermoproteota.
AGCUCCCCGAGUGGUUGGGACGAUUAUUGGGUCUGAAGCGUCCGUAGCCGGCCGGAAAAGUCCCCCGUUAAAUCUGGCGAUCCAAUCGUUGGGCUGCGGGGAAUACUCUUCGGCUUGGGGGCGAGGGAGGUCGGCGGUAGUCCCGGGGUAGGGGCGAAAUCCUAUAAUCCCGGGAGGACCACCAGUGGCGAAGGCGGUCGACUAAAGCGCGCCCGACGGUGAGGGACGAAAGCUGGGGGAGCGAACGG